CAGCCGCCGCGGUAAUACGUAGGGUGCAAGCGUUAAUCGGAAUUACCGGGCGUAAAGCGUGCGCAGGCGGUUCGCUAAGACAGAUGUGAAAUCCCCGGGCUUAACCUGGGAACUGCAUUUGUGACUGGCGGGCUAGAGUAUGGCAGAGGGGGGUAGAAUUCCACGUGUAGCAGUGAAAUGCGUAGAGAUGUGGAGGAAUACCGAUGGCGAAGGCAGCCCCCUGGGCCAAUACUGACGCUCAUGCACGAAAGCGUGGGGAGCGAACAGGAUUAGAUACCCCCGUAGUCCCUGUCUCUUAUAA
RNAcentral lists this ribosomal RNA (301 nucleotides) under uncultured bacterium. RNAcentral describes it as "partial 16S ribosomal RNA". It matches the Rfam family "Bacterial small subunit ribosomal RNA", at positions 509 to 809 of the family's 1533-position model. The record is from RNAcentral.